Molecule: ribosomal RNA, 787 nt
Filed under: Bacillus subtilis
Lineage: Bacteria; Bacillati; Bacillota; Bacilli; Caryophanales; Bacillaceae
Description: bacterial SSU rRNA
Rfam family: Bacterial small subunit ribosomal RNA
Source: RNAcentral
GGGGCCAAGGGGGGGUACUAUACAUGCAAGUCGAGCGGACAGAUGGGAGCUUGCUCCCUGAUGUUAGCGGCGGACGGGUGAGUAACACGUGGGUAACCUGCCUGUAAGACUGGGAUAACUCCGGGAAACCGGGGCUAAUACCGGAUGGUUGUUUGAACCGCAUGGUUCAAACAUAAAAGGUGGCUUCGGCUACCACUUACAGAUGGACCCGCGGCGCAUUAGCUAGUUGGUGAGGUAACGGCUCACCAAGGCAACGAUGCGUAGCCGACCUGAGAGGGUGAUCGGCCACACUGGGACUGAGACACGGCCCAGACUCCUACGGGAGGCAGCAGUAGGGAAUCUUCCGCAAUGGACGAAAGUCUGACGGAGCAACGCCGCGUGAGUGAUGAAGGUUUUCGGAUCGUAAAGCUCUGUUGUUAGGGAAGAACAAGUACCGUUCGAAUAGGGCGGUACCUUGACGGUACCUAACCAGAAAGCCACGGCUAACUACGUGCCAGCAGCCGCGGUAAUACGUAGGUGGCAAGCGUUGUCCGGAAUUAUUGGGCGUAAAGGGCUCGCAGGCGGUUUCUUAAGUCUGAUGUGAAAGCCCCCGGCUCAACCGGGGAGGGUCAUUGGAAACUGGGGAACUUGAGUGCAGAAGAGGAGAGUGGAAUUCCACGUGUAGCGGUGAAAUGCGUAGAGAUGUGGAGGAACACCAGUGGCGAAGGCGACUCUCUGGUCUGUAACUGACGCUGAGGAGCGAAAGCGUGGGGAGCGAACAGGAUUAGAUACCUUGGUAGUCCAAAAA